AACCGCCCAGUACGAGAACCGUACGCUGGGUGGUGUGAGAGGCGCACUGGCGGUCAUUUGACCGUCAGCCGUCUACUCGAU
This 81-nucleotide unclassified non-coding RNA is filed under the name Reichenbachiella agariperforans. Lineage: Bacteria; Pseudomonadati; Bacteroidota; Cytophagia; Cytophagales; Reichenbachiellaceae. The record is from RNAcentral.